AGAACGAACGCUGGCGGCAGGCUUAACACAUGCAAGUCGAACGCGUGUAGCAAUACACGAGUGGCGCACGGGUGAGUAACGCGUGGAUAUCUGCCUUUUGGUUCGGAAUAACCCCGGGAAACUGGGGCUAAUACCGGAUGGUUCCUACGGGAUAAAGAUUUAUCGCCAAAAGAUGAGUCCGCGUACGAUUAGCUAGUUGGUGAGGUAAUGGCUCACCAAGGCGACGAUCGUUAGCUGGUCUGAGAGGACGAUCAGCCACACUGGGACUGAGACACGGCCCAGACUCCUACGGGAGGCAGCAGUGGGGAAUAUUGGACAAUGGGGGCAACCCUGAUCCAGCCAUGCCGCGUGAGUGAUGAAGGCCUUCGGGUUGUAAAGCUCUUUUGGCGGGUACGAUGAUGACGGUACCGCAGAUAAGCCCGGCUAACUUCGUGCCAGCAGCCGC
Molecule: ribosomal RNA, 445 nt
Filed under: uncultured bacterium
Lineage: Bacteria
Description: SSU rRNA
Rfam family: Bacterial small subunit ribosomal RNA
Source: RNAcentral